CUUGGAGGACAGGAAGGAUGUAAUCUCUCCUGGUAAUAUCUUGGAGGACAGGAAGGAUGUAAUCUCUCCUGGUAAUAUCUUGGAGGACAGGAAGGAUGUAAUCUCUCCAGGUGAUAUCUUGGAGGACAGGAAGGAUGUAAUCUCUCCUGAGAAUAUCUUGGAGGACAGGAAGGAUGUAAUCUCUCCUGGUAAUAUAUUGGAGGACAGGAAGGAUGUAAUCACUCCUGGUAAUAUCUUGGAGGACAGGAAGGAUGUAAUCUCUCCUGGUGAUAUCUUGGAGGACAGGAAGGAUGUAAUCUCUCCAGGUGAUAUCUUGGAAGACAGGAAGGAUGUAAUCUCUCCAGGUGAGAUCUUGGAGGACAGGAAGGAUGUAAUCUCUCCAGGUGAUAUAUUGGAGGAUAGGAAGGUUGUAGUCUCUCCAGGUGAUAUCUUGGAGGACAGGAAGGAUGUAAUCUCUCCAGGUGAUAUCUUGGAGGACAGGAAGGAUGUAAUCUCUCCAGGUGAUAUCUUGGAGGACAGGAAGGAUGUAAUCUCUCCAGGUGAUAUCUUGGAGGACAGGAAGGAUGUAAUCUCUCCAGGUGAUAUCUUGGAGGACAGGAAGGAUGUAAUCUCUCCUGAGAAUAUCUUGGAGGACAGGAAGGAUGUAAUCUCUCCUGGUAAUAUCUUGGAGGACAGGAAGGAUGUAAUCUCUCCUGGUAAUAUAUUGGAGGACAGGAAGGAUGUAAUCUCUCCUGGUAAUAUCUUGGAGGACAGGAAGGAUGUAAUCUCUCCUGGUAAUAUCUUGGAGGACAGGAAGGAUGUAAUCUCUCCUGGUAAUAUCUUGGAGGACAGGAAGUAU
Molecule: long non-coding RNA, 838 nt
Filed under: Salmo salar (Atlantic salmon)
Lineage: Eukaryota; Metazoa; Chordata; Actinopteri; Salmoniformes; Salmonidae
Description: lncRNA (ENSSSAG00000112638.1)
Source: RNAcentral